AUGUUAAACUUUUUUUUUUUUUUUUUUUUUUUUUUUUUGUCAUUGAUUAUUUCAAAUAUCACUGAAAUUAAGUGUUACAAAAUAAAAAUCAAUCACAAAUAUACUCUUCCAUUUUUUAAUAAUAACACAAAAAAGUAUAAUAAUAAAAUUAUAACGCAUAUCAACCAUAUACAAUCUAACGAAAAUGACGUUAUAACAGAAGGGUUAGAAAAAAAUGUAAAAAGUAUUAUUGGUCUUGAGGUUCAUAUACAGUUAAGUACUAAACACAAAGCUUUUUGUAACUGCUUUAAUAUAUCAUCACUAUAUAAAGAAAAAAGUUAUGAAAAAUAUAAUAACGAAUUGAUUAGUUUUUUAAAUGAAAAUGUUUUUAAAAAAUGUAAAAAAAAAGAAAACAACAUAUUGAACAUGUUAAGUGAAAAAAUAAAAAUGGAGUUAGUUAAAAAGGAAAAGAAUACAUCAGUACACACUGACAUAAAUAUGGAUACAUAUACUAAUACAUAUAGCGAUAAAGUUAUUAAACCAAACAAAUAUAUCUGCAAUGUUUGUAUAGGAGAAGUAGGUUCAUUAAAUACAUUGAAUGCCACUGCUGUAUUAUUUACAUAUUUAAUUGGAAUUAUUUUUAAUUGUAAGCUUAAUAAUGUUAUUAAUUUUGAUAGAAAAAUUUAUAAUUAUUAUGAUUUACCAAAAGGCUAUCAAAUUACUCAAAAAUAUAAACCUAUAGGCUCAAAUGGUUAUUUUAUUAUUGAUGGAAAAAAAUUUUAUAUAAACAGUGUGCACUUAGAGGAAGAUACAAGUAAAUGUUUUAUACUGCAUAAUACUUUUAGUGGUAACAGUGGUGGUAAUAGUGGUGAUGGUAGUGAAAGUGGCGAUAGUGGAAGUAGCGAUAGUGGAAGUGGCGAUAGUGGAAGUGGCUAUAGUGGUGGUACCGAUGACACAUAUAACCAUUCCAACGAUACUAACACAAACAUAAUUACCAGUACUGAUACAAAUGCAAAAGAAACUGUUCCCAAGUGCUUAAACACAAAAAACAUUAUACAGAAUAAAAUAUUAUUAGAUUAUAAUAGAUGUGGUAUUCCAUUAGUAGAAAUUGUUGUAAAUAAAGAUUAUAUGACUGUUGAUGAUUGUAUAAAUUUGCUUAAAGUUAUAAAAAAUAAAGUAUGCAUAUUAGGUGUUUGUGUAGGUAAUAAAGAAAAUAUAAGGUCAGAUAUAAACAUAUCUUUUGAAUAUAAAAAUAUAAAGUCAAAUCGAAUUGAAAUUAAAAAUGUAAACAGUUUUACAAAAAUAAAAAAUUGUAUUAAAAUAGAAAAGCAAAAUUUUAUAAACCGCAUUAAAAAAAAAAACAGUAUUAAUAAUGAUAGUAAUAAUGGAUGUAAUAGUGGUGAUAAUAAUGGAUGUAAUAAUGGUAAAUAUGAUAAACACGUAUAUACGAAAAGUUACUUAGAUAAUAAAAAUUACAUGUUACGAAAAAAAGAAGAAUAUACAUAUGUACACGAAAGUAACAUCCCUGAAUAUAAAUUAAAAAAAAACAUUUUAAAUUUGUUAUAUUUUUAUGUUAAUCAUAAAAUUAAAAUAUAUGAUGAUAAAAAAAAAUAUAAAUGGUCAGAUCAGUAUUUUCAUGUUUUUUCUAGUGACCCAUUUUUAUAUAACUAUUUCAAUGAAUGCUUAUUAUAUGAACAAGAAAAAAAUGUUUCUAAUUUUAUAGUUAAUAUAUUAUUAGAUGUUUUAAAAAAAAAAAAGUUAUUAUCGAAAAACAUUUUAAUUAAACCUAAACACAUGUGCUAUCUUAUUAAAUAUUUAAAAAAAAACAAAAUAGAUAAAACAUAUCUUAAAACGUAUCUGUAUAAACAUAUAGACAUCGGAUUUGAUAAAACAGAAAUACUUAACAAUGUAAACACAACAAGUUAUGAAGAAAUAAAACAAAUAGUAAAAAAAUUAAUUAAUAAUAAUAUCAAAUAUGUACAAAUAGAUAAUAAACAUAAUAAUGUUAUUCUUAAUGAACAAAAUUUUAAAAAUAGAAUUAUCGGACUAUUAAAAAAUCAGGUUAAGCAAUUGAAUAGCCAGUUAAAUAUUAAUUACCACUCUGUGAGCGAUUUCAUUAUUUAUUAUGUUAGAAAAUUGGUUUGUGCACAGGCUGAAUGA
Long non-coding RNA from Piliocolobus tephrosceles (Ugandan red Colobus), 2139 nucleotides. Lineage: Eukaryota; Metazoa; Chordata; Mammalia; Primates; Cercopithecidae. The record is from Ensembl.